Molecule: long non-coding RNA, 1082 nt
Filed under: Sus scrofa (pig)
Lineage: Eukaryota; Metazoa; Chordata; Mammalia; Artiodactyla; Suidae
Description: lncRNA (ENSSSCG00065076941.1)
Source: RNAcentral
GCCCCGGCGGGCCUGGGCUGGAAGGGGGCGGGCCUGCCCUUCAGCCCCUCGCCUGGUCGACCCCGGAGAGUAUUUGAAGCUCGCGCUUCCUCCACCGCCCGAGCUCCAGACCCUUCUUCCCAGCGCGGCGCGACGGCCCCAAGUGGAUGGGCUGUCUCUGGUGAACACGUCCAACUCCAGAGGCUGUGACUCUGGGGACCUUCGUGACCCCAAGACAGGGUCACACACCCGUGGCAUUUGGUCGCCAAAUUCCAGCCACGAGAGCCGGAGGUCAAGGUUGGCAUGAGCGGAAGCCCAAGGGAUAGACUUGUGGGCCAGAGGCUCUGGCAGCGCAGGAAGCCCAGCCCGUGAGGAGGGGCUACAGAGCUGAGCUGCAAGCAUCCCUUAGAGCCGUGGGUUUCCAGUUGCUCAACUGGACCUAGCAGAGCUGCGGCUUCUAGGACCGUAGCCAUCAGCCUCCUGGAAGCAUCUCCGUAUACACUGAAUAAAAGGAAAUGAAAUUGAAAAACACAGCUCCCUGGUGACACUAGCCAUGUUUCAAGACGCUACUGUAUCAUUGUCAACAUCAUGGAAGGUUCUAUGGGGACGGCCGGGCACUAGAAGACUGUGGAGUCCACCUGGGAGGGGGAUGAGCAGCAUUGGAAAAGACAGUGAACAGGGUCCAGGAGCUAGAAGAGGACACAGUCCCGGCCACCUAGAGCUUGGGGACUGGUACGAUCGAAGGGACGUGAGACAAGGACCCCCAUUCAACCGACUGGCUCCAAGCUGAGCCUUGGAGAGGUGGCUGGGGACAGGAGGAAAAGACAGAGCCCCCCACGCAUUGCCAGGAUUUCUCUUUCCGUAUCCCAGCCUCCCUGCUCCCUGGGGCACACAGGUGGAUGGCGGAGGCAGCCAGUGAAGGCACCAACCGAGGGGCAGAACCUCCACAUGCCAUGGGCGCAGGCCAAAAGGAGAGAGUGAUGGAGGGAGGAAGAAACGCUGGGAGACACAACCUCCAAGUCUCAAGUGGAAACGGGGAGAGAGGCGUCAUGGGAGGGAGCAGCUCUCGAAGUCCCAGCUGGCCCCCCCUAGCUUCGCAAGGA